GAAAGCGUUGCUAAUACCGGAUAUUGUUCCUUUGGCUGUGGCUAGAGGGAUGAAAGGUGACCAAUUCAUGAAAGUUGCCGUUUAGGGAGGGGCUCGCGUACCAUUAGCUUGUUGGUGGGGUAAUGGCCUACCAAGGCUACGAUGGUUAGCUGGUCUGAGAGGAUGAUCAGCCACACUGGAACUGAAACACGGUCCAGACUCCUACGGGAGGCAGCAGUGAGGAAUUUUGCGCAAUGGGGGAAACCCUGACGCAGCAACGCCGCGUGAGUGAAGAAGGCUUUCGGGUCGUAAAGCUCUGUCAAGUGGGAAAAAGGACUUUCGGUCAAUAGCCGGAAGGAUUGAUGGUACCACUAGAGGAAGCACCGGCUAACUCCGUGCCAGCAGCCGCGGUAAUACGGAGGGUGCGAGUGUUGUUCGGAAUUAUUGGGCGUAAAGAGCGUGUAGGCGGUUUGGUAAGUCAGGUGUGAAAGCCCUGGGCUUAACCCAGGAAGUGCACUUGAAACUACUUCACUUGAGUAUGGGAGAGGAGAGUGGAAUUCCCAGUGUAGAGGUGAAAUUCNUAGAUAUUGGGAGGA
RNAcentral lists this ribosomal RNA (575 nucleotides) under uncultured bacterium. Its description in RNAcentral is "bacterial SSU rRNA". It matches the Rfam family "Bacterial small subunit ribosomal RNA", at positions 153 to 705 of the family's 1533-position model. The record is from RNAcentral.